RNAcentral lists this ribosomal RNA (997 nucleotides) under Pyrenochaeta nobilis. RNAcentral's name for it is "SSU rRNA". It matches the Rfam family "Eukaryotic small subunit ribosomal RNA", at positions 67 to 1075 of the family's 1831-position model. The record is from RNAcentral. Lineage: Eukaryota; Fungi; Ascomycota; Dothideomycetes; Pleosporales; Cucurbitariaceae.
UAGCAUUAUACCGUGAAACUGCGAAUGGCUCAUUAAAUCAGUUAUCGUUUAUUUGAUAGUACCUUACUACUUGGAUAACCGUGGUAAUUCUAGAGCUAAUACAUGCUGAAAACCCCAACUUCGGGAGGGGUGUAUUUAUUAGAUAAAAAACCAACGCCCUUCGGGGCUUCUUGGUGAUUCAUGAUAACUUUACGGAUCGCAUGGCCUUGCGCCGGCGACGGUUCAUUCAAAUUUCUGCCCUAUCAACUUUCGAUGGUAAGGUAUUGGCUUACCAUGGUUUCAACGGGUAACGGGGAAUUAGGGUUCGAUUCCGGAGAGGGAGCCUGAGAAACGGCUACCACAUCCAAGGAAGGCAGCAGGCGCGCAAAUUACCCAAUCCCGACACGGGGAGGUAGUGACAAUAAAUACUGAUACAGGGCUCUUUUGGGUCUUGUAAUUGGAAUGAGUACAAUUUAAACCUCUUAACGAGGAACAAUUGGAGGGCAAGUCUGGUGCCAGCAGCCGCGGUAAUUCCAGCUCCAAUAGCGUAUAUUAAAGUUGUUGCAGUUAAAAAGCUCGUAGUUGAAACUUGGGUCUGGCUGGCAGGUCCGCCUCACCGCGUGUACUUGUCCGGCCGGGCCUUCCUUCUGGAGAACCUCAUGCCCUUCACUGGGCGUGUUGGGGACCAGGACUUUUACUUUGAAAAAAUUAGAGUGUUCAAAGCAGGCCUUUGCUCGAAUACGUUAGCAUGGAAUAAUAGAAUAGGACGUGCGGUUCUAUUUUGUUGGUUUCUAGGACCGCCGUAAUGAUUAAUAGGGACAGUCGGGGGCAUCAGUAUUCAAUUGUCAGAGGUGAAAUUCUUGGAUUUAUUGAAGACUAACUACUGCGAAAGCAUUUGCCAAGGAUGUUUUCAUUAAUCAGUGAACGAAAGUUAGGGGAUCGAAGACGAUCAGAUACCGUCGUAGUCUUAACCGUAAACUAUGCCGACUAGGGAUCGGGCGAUGUUCUUUUUUUUGAC